UCUUACUGAAGAUCCUUGUGUACCUGAAGCCUUUUGAAGGAGGGGGGAUCUUUGGAAGUGAAUGCCUGGCCUGAAGCCCAGCUACUCCAGUAAGCAAGGACCUGCUUCUAGCAAGGCUUAGGUGCUUCAGAAGAAGGUGUGGAAAGCUGAUGCUAUGAAGAAAAGAGACUCAACAACAGUUUCUGUACCAUCGUCACCACAGUUCUGU
RNAcentral lists this long non-coding RNA (208 nucleotides) under Gallus gallus (chicken). The record is from RNAcentral. Lineage: Eukaryota; Metazoa; Chordata; Aves; Galliformes; Phasianidae.